GGGUGAGUAACGCGUGGGUAACCUGCCCUGUACACACGGAUAACAUACCGAAAGGUAUGCUAAUACGGGAUAACAUAAGAAAUUCGCAUGUUUUUCUUAUCAAAGCUCCGGCGGUACAGGAUGGACCCGCGUCUGAUUAGCUAGUUGGUGAGGUAAUGGCUCACCAAGGCGACGAUCAGUAGCCGACCUGAGAGGGUGAUCGGCCACAUUGGAACUGAGACACGGUCCAAACUCCUACGGGAGGCAGCAGUGGGGAAUAUUGCACAAUGGGCGAAAGCCUGAUGCAGCAACGCCGCGUGAGCGAUGAAGGCCUUCGGGUCGUAAAGCUCUGUCCUCAAGGAAGAUAAUGACGGUACUUGAGGAGGAAGCCCCGGCUAACUACGUGCCAGCAGCCGCGGUAAUACGUAGGGGGCUAGCGUUAUCCGGAUUUACUGGGCGUAAAGGGUGCGUAGGCGGUCUUUUAAGUCAGGAGUGAAAGGCUACGGCUCAACCGUAGUAAGCUCUUGAAACUGGAGGACUUGAGUGCAGGAGAGGAGAGUGGAAUUCCUAGUGUAGCGGUGAAAUGCGUAGAUAUUAGGAGGAACACCAGUAGCGAAGGCGGCUCUCUGGACUGUAACUGACGCUGAGGCACGAAAGCGUGGGGAGCAAACAGGAUUAGAUACCCUGGUAGUCCACGCCGUAAACGAUGAGUACUAGCUGUCGGAGGUUA
Molecule: ribosomal RNA, 709 nt
Filed under: uncultured bacterium
Lineage: Bacteria
Description: bacterial SSU rRNA
Rfam family: Bacterial small subunit ribosomal RNA
Source: RNAcentral